Long non-coding RNA from Salvelinus fontinalis (brook trout), 1233 nucleotides. RefSeq lists it as uncharacterized. NCBI's taxonomy places the organism in Eukaryota, Metazoa, Chordata, Actinopteri, Salmoniformes, Salmonidae. The transcript has 2 exons. The record is from RefSeq and is a predicted model, not a curated record.
UUGACUUUAGAAUAAGGCUGUAAGGUAACAAAAUGUCAGGAAAAAAACAAGGAGUCUGAAUACACUGUAGGUCUCAUCCAAUAAACAGUUCAAUAAAUGUGUUUUUGUGGGCUCUUCACAGGCCAUCAGUUACCUUUCAGAACCUAGUUACAAUAAAAAUGUAUUGUAGUAUAAUCAGUUCUCGUACUUGGGAACUUGCUCCAGGUAAUUCUGGUAGCCAGACGUGUUCUUGCUGUACUGAAUCUGUUUCUGCUGUCGUUUCAGGACCGAUUCAUUGCCUUCUGUGUGAGCUGGAUCCAGGUUUCGUAGGGCCCACCGCAUCCCUGCCUGGGACCUAGGAAAAACAAGCCUUCAUGAUUUCCCUCUAUAAUGUUGCUUGAAAUAAUAUUGUGCAUGGAAAUAGAGAACAUGCAGUACAUUUCAAAAGAGGAAGGGUAAUGUAGAAUGGUAAAUGGUUCAAUUCCACCAAUUGAGGUACUGAGGCCCUUCAGAUGAGUGUGCUUAAUUGUGCUCUUUAGGUUAACAAUGUUUUAUUAUCUACAUUUUAGUCAUUAAGCAGACGUGCUUCUCCAGAGCGACUUGCAGUCGUGAGUGCAUACAUUUUUCAUACUGACCUCCUGAUACCACCCAUGUCCUCUGUUCCAACAGCAACACUGGCAGUAGACAUGCUUAGGAUACAUCGCUCAAGAAUGGAUGACCUGAUGGGAAAAGCAACCAGAGACUCCAUGAACUUAUCCAAUAAGAACCUGAUAUUUUCAUUUGCAAAACAUUUUGCUACGUAUGCACUAAGUCCAAGGAGGAGAAAGUAAAAGCUUACAAGAAGGAGAAGCAGAAAGAAAAGAUUCUUAAAGCAGAGGGGGAUCUCUUCGAGGAGAAUGAUGAAAUCGCUGACAUGAUAGGAUUCUUAGGAUUUGUUUCCUCAAACAAAACAAAAUUACCUAAAGACAUGUAUUUGAUCACAAAGAAAACUUUGCUGUCUGUAGUAUUCUAUUAGUGUCACUAUACUCCCUCUCCGGCCUCUAGGUCAUCAGGCUGCUGAUUAUCCUGCACACCUGUCACCAUCGUCUCGUGCACCUGCGCCUCAUGACACUCACCUGGACUCAAUCACCUCCUUGAUUAACUUCCCUAUAUCUGUCACUCCCCUUGGUUCUUUCCUCAGGUGUUAUUGACUCUGUUUUCAUGCAUUGUUUGUGUUUUGUGUUCCUUUAUUUAUUAAAACACUCACUCCCUGAA